This 427-nucleotide ribosomal RNA is filed under the name uncultured bacterium. RNAcentral describes it as "bacterial SSU rRNA". It matches the Rfam family "Bacterial small subunit ribosomal RNA", at positions 355 to 774 of the family's 1533-position model. The record is from RNAcentral.
UGGGGAAUUUUGGACAAUGGGCGCAAGCCUGAUCCAGCAAUGCCGCGUGCAGGAUGAAGGCCUUCGGGUUGUAAACUGCUUUUGUACGGAACGAAACGGCUCUGUCUAAUACAUGGGGCUAAUGACGGUACCGUAAGAAUAAGCACCGGCUAACUACGUGCCAGCAGCCGCGGUCAUACGUAGGGUGCAAGCGUUAAUCGGAAUUACUGGGCGUAAAGCGUGCGCAGGCGGUGAUGUAAGACAGGUGUGAAAUCACCGGGCUUAACCUGGGAAUUGCAUUUGUGACUGCAUCGCUGGAGUGCAGCAGAGGGGGCUGGAAUUCCGCGUGUAGCAGUGAGAUGCGUAGAUAUGCGGAGGAACACCGAUGGCGAAGCCAAUCCCCUGGGACUGCACUGACGCACAGUCACGAAAGCUUGGGGAGCAAACA